This is a non-coding RNA of Erinaceus europaeus (western European hedgehog), 104 nucleotides long. The record is from Rfam. Lineage: Eukaryota; Metazoa; Chordata; Mammalia; Eulipotyphla; Erinaceidae.
GUGCUCACUUUGGCAGCAUAUAUACUAAAAUUGAUACAGAGAAGAUUAGCACAGUCCCCGAGCAAGGAUGACAUGAAAAUUCGUGAGAGGGGAUUCAUUAAAUU